GCCGGGGUUGCAGAGCCAGGCUACUGCGGGGGAUUCGAGAUCCCCUGCCCGCAAGGGCGCGUGGGUUCAAAUCCCACCCCUGGCG
Molecule: non-coding RNA, 85 nt
Organism: Archaeoglobus veneficus SNP6
Lineage: Archaea; Methanobacteriati; Methanobacteriota; Archaeoglobi; Archaeoglobales; Archaeoglobaceae
Source: Rfam